RNAcentral lists this ribosomal RNA (465 nucleotides) under Vreelandella stevensii. RNAcentral's name for it is "partial 16S ribosomal RNA". It matches the Rfam family "Bacterial small subunit ribosomal RNA", at positions 338 to 795 of the family's 1533-position model. The record is from RNAcentral. Lineage: Bacteria; Pseudomonadati; Pseudomonadota; Gammaproteobacteria; Oceanospirillales; Halomonadaceae.
CCUACGGGAGGCUGCAGUGGGGAAUAUUGGACAAUGGGGGCAACCCUGAUCCAGCCAUGCCGCGUGUGUGAAGAAGGCCCUCGGGUUGUAAAGCACUUUCAGUGAGGAAGAACGCCUGGUGGUUAAUACCCAUCAGGAAAGACAUCACUCACAGAAGAAGCACCGGCUAACUCCGUGCCAGCAGCCGCGGUAAUACGGAGGGUGCGAGCGUUAAUCGGAAUUACUGGGCGUAAAGCGCGCGUAGGCGGCUUGAUAAGCCGGUUGUGAAAGCCCCGGGCUCAACCUGGGAACGGCAUCCGGAACUGUCAAGCUAGAGUGCAGGAGAGGAAGGUAGAAUUCCCGGUGUAGCGGUGAAAUGCGUAGAGAUCGGGAGGAAUACCAGUGGCGAAGGCGGCCUUCUGGACUGACACUGACACUGAGGUGCGAAAGCGUGGGUAGCAAACAGGAUUAGAUACCCCGGUAGUC